GAUGAACGCUGGCGGCGUGCUUAACACAUGCAAGUCGAACGAAGCACUUUUGAUUGAUUUCUUCGGAAAGAGAGAGACUGCGACUGAGUGGCGGACGGGUGAGUAACGCGUGGGUAACCUGCCUCAUACAGGGGGAUAACAGUUAGAAAUGACUGCUAAUACCGCAUAAGCACACAGCUUCGCAUGAAGCAGUGUGAAAAACUCCGGUGGUAUGAGAUGGACCCGCGUCUGAUUAGGUAGUUGGUGGGGUAACGGCCCACCAAGCCGACGAUCAGUAGCCGACCUGAGAGGGUGACCGGCCACAUUGGGACUGAGACACGGCCCAAACUCCUACGGGAGGCAGCAGUGGGGAAUAUUGGGCAAUGGGCGCAAGCCUGACCCAGCAACGCCGCGUGAAGGAAGAAGGCUUUCGGGUUGUAAACUUCUUUUGUCAGGGACGAGUAGAAGACGGUACCUGACGAAUAAGCCACGGCUAACUACGUGCCAGCAGCCGCGGUAAUACGUAGGUGGCAAGCGUUGUCCGGAUUUACAGGGUGUAAAGGGCGUGUAGCCGGGAGGGCAAGUCAGAUGUGAAAUCCACGGGCUCAACUCGUGAACUGCAUUUGAAACUACUCUUCUUGAGUAUCGGAGAGGCAAUCGGAAUUCCUAGUGUAGCGGUGAAAUGCGUAGAUAUUAGGAGGAACACCAGUGGCGAAGGCGGAUUGCUGGACGACAACUGACGGUGAGGCGCGAAAGCGUGGGGAGCAAACAGGAUUAGAUACCCUGGUAGUCCACGCUGUAAACGAU
Molecule: ribosomal RNA, 786 nt
Filed under: uncultured bacterium
Lineage: Bacteria
Description: bacterial SSU rRNA
Rfam family: Bacterial small subunit ribosomal RNA
Source: RNAcentral